AUGACUCUACAGGAACUGGUGCAUCAGACUGCCUCUCUUUAUUUGGACAAAGUAGCAGUGCGUUUUGAUGAAUGUUAAUAACCAGCCUCCACUUUAUUGUACCUACAAGACUGUGGUUACUGUUGCUUUGGGAUUAUCAAAUUUUCUUCUUUCACACUGACUUCCAAGGAAUUUGAGAAUUGGACUGUACUGCCAGCCUGGGAUUAAUUUACCUUCUUGGAUUUUAGGAAUUCUCCAAGUCCCUGCUGCUUAUGCUCCUAUUGAUCCAGAUUUACCAUCAUCACUCAACUUAUUUUCUGAAAAAAAAUGUAACCUAAAGUAUAUCCUUGUUGGAAAAAAACAAAGUAAUAGAUUCAGGUCUUCCUAUGAAACAUUAUUGAUCUAUAAUACAUUUACAGUUGAACAUAAUGACCUAUUACUCUUCACACUUCAGUGGAAAAAUGGUGAGGUGAACUUGAUGCUGAGUGAUAGAAAAGAGCACUAUGAAAAAUAAAUGAUAAAAGACAGCAUAAGUUCUGAGAACUGCAAUGAAGAAAAAGCAGAAGAACACAUGGACAUGAGGCUAAAGCAUUGCUUAGCCUAUGUUCUCCAUAUCUCAGGGACUACAGGAGUACCAAAGGUCAUCAGAGUGCCUCAUGAGUAUACUAGUACCAAAUAUCCAGCAUUUCCAGAUACUUUUUAACAUCACACAAGAAGAUAUUUUAUUUCUGGCUUCACCUCUGGCCUUCGAUCCUUCUGUUGUGGAAAUAUUUGUUACUUUAUGGAGGUGCCACUCUGCUUACUGUUGUCAAGGCGCUCCCAUCAAAAUUAGCUUCUGUUCUCUUUUCCCAUCACAAAGUGACUAUGUUGUAGGCAACACCAUCAUUGCUUAGAAGAUUUGGAGCUGAAUUUAUCAAAUCAAGUAUUUUAUCAGCCAGUACUUUCCUUCGAGUAUUAGCUCUUGGUGGCAAAGCAUUUCUAUCAUUGACUGUUCUCAAAAGCUGGACAGGAGAAGGCAAUAAAACACACAUAUUUAAUGUUUAUGGAAUCACAGAAGUAUAAAGUUGAGCAACCUUUUAUAGGAUUCCAGAGAAGAUUCUUAACUCUACUUUGAAAUGUGAAAUUCCUGUACAAGUGGGAUUUCCACUGCUUGGAACAGUAAUUGAAGUCAGAGAUACUAACAGUUGCACAAUUCAAGAAGGCAAUGGCCAUGUAUUUUUAGGUGGUAGUAGCAGAGUAUGUUUUCUAGAUGAUGAAUUGACUGUACCACUUGGCACAAUGUGAGCUACAGUAGACUUUGUUACUGUGAAAAAUGGAGAGAUAUUUUUCUUAGGAUGAAAAGACAGUCAGAUCAAACGUCAUGGCAAAUGUCUUAACAUUGAAUUUGUGCAACAGGUUGCUGAAGAACUUCAGCAAGUGGAAUCUUGUGCCGUUACAUGGUAUAAACAGGAAAAAUUGAUUCUCUUCAUUGUGUCCAAAGGUAAUUUAGUAAAGGAUUACAUCUUUAAUGAACUGCAGAAACAUCUUCCAAGUCAUGCAAUCCCAGAUGAACUUGUAUUGAUUGAUGCACUGCCAUUUACAUCUCAUGGCAAGAUUGAUGUUUCUGAGUUAAACAAGUUAUAUUUGAACUGCAUAAACUUGAAGUCUAAGUAUAAGCUCAAUGGAAAAGAGGAACUUUGGGAAAAUGACAGUAUUUGUGGAAGUCUAUUCUGCAUCUCUCAGAAGAUCCUUUGAAGAUUCCUGAUGAGUCACUCUUCUUAAAUAGUGGUGGUGAUUCCUUAAAGUCCAUAGAACUCCUCAAUGAGAUUGAAAAACUUAUUGAUGUAUUCAUACCCAGGCUUCUGGAAAUGAUUCUCAGCAGUUCCCUUUUAGAGAUUUAUAGUCACAUCUUUCAAAUGGUGUUUGCCAAUGAAGAUCUGACACUCGGCAAGAGUUGUGCCACAAAAAGGAAACUCAGUGACAUUAAUCAAGAGGAAGCUGGUGGCAAAUAUCUGCAUCAGAAAUCUUUCAUGCCUUUAAAUUGCGACAAUGAGAUUGAGGCUUUUGCACUCAACAGAGGGAGUCAGGUUUUGUCUGUGGAUCCUACUAUGUCUUUAACUAAGUUAGGAACAGUCUGUUCUUCUGAUUUAAUUUCACGAACAGUCAAAAUUGGAAAAGUUUAAAUCCUCUAGCUCUUAUCAGGAAGUCAAAAGACCUAUCCUUUGUUGCAGAAGUUUCUGAAAAGGGAAACCUUUGGCAGAGUCUGAGAAAACAGAGUUAUGCAUGAGGUGGAGGUCGGACACAGGCAAAUGUGUAGAUGCUUCACCACUAUUUAUAAUACCAGCUUUUGAUAAGUCCUCUGCAACUAUGUACCUUGGUUCCCAUUCUCACAAAUGAAGGCAGUUGACCUUUACUCAGGGAAAGUGAAAUGGGAACAGAUUUUGGGAGAUCAAAUUGAAUCUUCAGCAUGUGUAUCUAAGUGUGGAAACUCUAUUAUAGUGGGCUGUUAUGAUGGAUUAGCUUAUGUUCUAAAAAGUAAUACUGGAGAAAAAUACUGGACGUUUAUUACCGAAGAUGCUGUCAAAAGCUCGGCAACAGUGGAUCCAACCACAGGACUCCUGUACAUUGGCUGUCAUGACCAGCAUGCAUAUGCUUUAGAUAUUUAUAAAAAGAAGUGUGUUUAGAAGUUAAAAUGUGGAGGCACUGUCUUUUCUUCUCCUUGUUUGAGCCUGAACCCACAUCAUCUGUAUUGUGCUACACUGGGAGGAUUUUUACUGGCUGUAAAUCCUGCUACUGGGAACAUAAUUUGGAAACAUUGCUGUGGAAUGCCGCUCUUCUCUUCUCUGCAGUGUUGCUUACAAUAUAUUUGCAUUGGCUGUGUUGAUGGGAAUUUACUCUGCUUUACUCACUUGGGAGAACAAGUUUGGCAAUUCUCUACCAGUGAACUGAUCUUUUCAUCCCCAUGUAUCUCAGCAUCAGAGCAAGAUAUAUUCUUUGGUUCCCACGAUUGCUUUAUCUACUGUUGUAACAAGAAAGAUCACCUCCAAUGGAAAUUAGAAACUACUUCAUGGGUAUAUGAAACACCGUUUGCUUUCCAUAACCAAGAUCACAGCAAUGAAAUAUUGCUGGCAGCAGCAUCUACAGAUGGGAAAUUCUGGAUCUUGGAUACUCAGAGUGGACAACUGCAAAGUGUAUAUGAACUUCCUGGAGAGGUCAUCUCUUCUCCUGUGGUCUGGGAAUCAAUGCUUAUUAUUGGAUGUAGAAAUCAUUAUAUUUAUUGUCUGUAUUUAUUGGGUGGAAAUAAAAAA
Nycticebus coucang (slow loris) is the source of this 3266-nucleotide RNA transcript. It is a transcript of the gene named beta-alanine-activating enzyme-like, with no coding region annotated. The record is from RefSeq and is a predicted model, not a curated record. The transcript has 2 exons. NCBI's taxonomy places the organism in Eukaryota, Metazoa, Chordata, Mammalia, Primates, Lorisidae.